Molecule: long non-coding RNA, 1415 nt
Organism: Meriones unguiculatus (Mongolian gerbil)
Lineage: Eukaryota; Metazoa; Chordata; Mammalia; Rodentia; Muridae
Exons: 7
Source: RefSeq, a predicted model, not a curated record
GUUCAGGAGUUACAGUUGGAGCGAGGUAGCUGAGACAGUUGGUGACCGGCUUGUGGUAAUUAAGGCCAAGGUUUCACUCGACACCUGGCAGAGACAGUGUGCUGUGGCAGUGCGCCACAGCAGGAUUGCGGGAGAGGUCCUCAACACCCAGGUUCACUGAAAACCAGCAAUGGAGGAAGCCUUCGCUUAAAGGAAGAGCACCUUCAUUAGGAAGCCUUUGCUCAAAGGCACAGCACCUUCAGCACAGUUGAGUGCACCGCCCUCUGCUGGAAACACACAGAGUUCACACCUACCGACCCUUCCGUCCUUACUGAAAAGUGUUCCUAAAUGGACUUUUCAGAUGGUCUGGGAGAGACAUGCUGCACUUCAAAUGCAUCUGGGAAACUAAUCUUACCCGGAGCACUGUGACCGGCAAAGGGGUUGCUUUAGGCCAGACCUCUUCAACAUUUUUCAGGCAGUCGACAUGCUUAGUCUACUUCACGGAUGUCAAUCUCCCUGAGAAUCAUUUGGCAGCCACAGGUUCUGUUAACUCCUCUGUAGCACAGCUGGUGGGCCAGAUACCCUCAUCAGCCGAAAGCCUGCAGAUGCCGUGUUUCUACCGCCGUGUACACCCUUUCGUGUUGGGUGAACUGGAAGACUUGGAUCCAAGGGAGCCUUCGGAAUAACUCCAUGGACAGACAACCCUCUCCACACACAGAGGUGCAAUCUCGCUUGGUGUGUGGCUCCUGCUGGGCAAACAAGAAAGACACAGCCUACUUGGAGGAUCUCAAGUUCCUCAUCUUCAUGUUAAUGGUGACCCGGGACAGUUGCCGAAAAGCUGGUCCCCCUCAGAUGCUCAGCUCUCAGUCCUCACCAAAGAAGCAUCUUUGCAUUUGCGGUCAGCAGUUAAUACACAAGAGUCACAAUUAGUCAAGUGGAAAGAACGGAAAAGAACAAGUGUCGGCGGAGUGCUCAGCUCUAGAUGGGACACCCGUGUCACACCCACGCCCGUCAAGGCUCAGGGAACAUUGCGGAAGAGGGGGCGGAAAGAUUGUAAGAGCCAGAGGUCAGGGAGAACUGGGGUGAAAAUGAUGAGAAUCACUGCACUCACAGAAGCUCUGGUUGCUUGCAAAGGCCUGAACAAGAUCAAGCCAGCCAACAUUUGAGCAUGGGUCAAGGAGGGGCCAGGAGCCCUCAGUCCUAGCUGAGGUGCUCCUGACAGCUGAUGACUGCUAGGGGAGAGCGUGGCCAAUGGUAGGAUUCACACCCUGGUGGAUGGCCUCACACCCCAUAUAUAAACAGUACUAAUUGAACAGGCACUUGGGAAGAGGACUUGAGUGGGGGACCCAGGAGGAACUGGAGGGGAAGGGGAGUAAAUAUGGCAGGAAACUAUGUACAUUAAAUUCCUUCUAAAUAAAUUGUUAUAAAAACAAAAA